CAAGCGUUGUCCGGAUUCAUUGGGCGUAAAGAGCGUGUAGGCGGCCAGGUAGGUCGGUUGUGAAAACUGGAGGCUCAACCUUCAGAGGUCGACCGAAACCAUCUGGCUAGAGUCCGGGAGAGGAGAGUGGAAUUCCUGGUGUAGCGGUGAAAUGCGCAGAUAUCAGGAAGAACACCCGUGGCGAAAGCGGCUCUCUGGAACGGUACUGACGCUGAGACGCGAAAGCGUGGGGAGCGAACAGG
This 242-nucleotide ribosomal RNA is filed under the name uncultured bacterium. Its description in RNAcentral is "partial 16S ribosomal RNA". It matches the Rfam family "Bacterial small subunit ribosomal RNA", at positions 535 to 776 of the family's 1533-position model. The record is from RNAcentral.